CCUGAGAAACCCAAAAGAUCGAAUGGGGAGAUUCAUCGUCAGCGAUCCAGGCACGUGUGCGGUUCGUGAUGCCAUAAGACUUCGGUCUUGAGGUACACGUCCGUGUGGGUUUUUGCCUGGUGUCGUCGGCGUGCACUUCUCCCCUAGUAGGACGUCGCGACCCGUUGGGUGUCGGUCUACGGCCCGGGUGGGUGCCUGUCAUGUGUACGACGCUUCACGGCGUUACGUGGCUGACAGACCCCCGGUUGUCUGACCAGCUGCCCGGCGGUACUCGCACGGUAUCGAGCCGCAAAUUUGAACUGCGUCCGGCCCGCCGCAAGCGCGGCCAGUGUUUCCCGGAUGUACGGACCUAGUGCCGUCACCGGGCCUGGCCAGCUGUUGGUUGGCGGUGUCCUAGGACUGGCUUUAAUGAUACCGGUCGGCGACGCUACUGCUUUGGGUACUUUCAGG
RNAcentral lists this ribosomal RNA (450 nucleotides) under Ophion ventricosus. Its description in RNAcentral is "eukaryotic LSU rRNA". The record is from RNAcentral. Lineage: Eukaryota; Metazoa; Arthropoda; Insecta; Hymenoptera; Ichneumonidae.